GACGAACGCUGGCGGCGUGCCUAAUACAUGCAAGUCGAGCGGAACUGGGGGAGCUUGCUCCUUCCAGUUUAGCGGCGGACGGGUGAGUAACACGUGGGCAACCUGCCCUGCAGAUCGGGAUAACUCCGGGAAACCGGUGCUAAUACCGAAUAGUUUGGCGCCUCUCCUGAGGCGCUACGGAAAGACGGUUUCGGCUGUCACUGCAGGAUGGGCCCGCGGCGCAUUAGCUAGUUGGUGGGGUAACGGCCCACCAAGGCGACGAUGCGUAGCCGGCCUGAGAGGGUGACCGGCCACACUGGGACUGAGACACGGCCCAGACUCCUACGGGAGGCGGCAGUAGGGAAUCUUCCGCAAUGGACGCAAGUCUGAUGGAGCAACGCCGCGUGAGUGACGAAGGUUUUCGGAUCGUAAAACUCUGUUGUGAGGGAAGAACACGUACCAACUGACUAUUGGUACCUUGACGGUACCUCACCAGAAAGCCACGGCUAACUACGUGCCAGCCGCCGCCGUAA
This 512-nucleotide ribosomal RNA is filed under the name uncultured bacterium. Its description in RNAcentral is "partial 16S ribosomal RNA". It matches the Rfam family "Bacterial small subunit ribosomal RNA", at positions 28 to 523 of the family's 1533-position model. The record is from RNAcentral.